GGACCCGCACAAGCGGUGGAGCAUGUGGUUUAAUUCGAUGCAACGCGAAGAACCUUACCUGGGUCUUGACAUCCUGCGAACUUUCUAGAAAUAGAUUGGUGCCUUCGGGAACGCAGUGACAGGUGCUGCAUGGCUGUCGUCAGCUCGUGUCGUGAGAUGUUGGGUUAAGUCCCGUAACGAGCGCAACCCCUAUCCUUAUUUGCCAGCACAUUAUGGUGGGAACUAUAAGGAGACUGCCGGUGAUAAACCGGAGGAAGGCGGGGACGACGUCAAGUCAUCAUGGCCCUUACGACCAGGGCUACACACGUGCUACAAUGGGAUGGACAAAGAGUCGCGAAGCCGCAAGGUGUAG
This 352-nucleotide ribosomal RNA is filed under the name uncultured bacterium. RNAcentral describes it as "bacterial SSU rRNA". It matches the Rfam family "Bacterial small subunit ribosomal RNA", at positions 917 to 1267 of the family's 1533-position model. The record is from RNAcentral.